ACGCUCGACACCUACGGGAGGCAGCAGUGGGGAAUAUUGCACAAUGGGGGAAACCCGUGAUGCAGCGACGCCGCGUGAGCGAAGAAGUAUUUCGGUAUGUAAAGCUCUAUCAGCAGGGAAGAUAAUGACGGUACCUGACUAAGAAGCUCCGGCUAAAUACGUGCCAGCAGCCACGGUAAUCUGAGCGGGCUGGCAAGGC
Molecule: ribosomal RNA, 199 nt
Filed under: uncultured bacterium
Lineage: Bacteria
Description: partial 16S ribosomal RNA
Rfam family: Bacterial small subunit ribosomal RNA
Source: RNAcentral